RNAcentral lists this ribosomal RNA (537 nucleotides) under uncultured archaeon. RNAcentral's name for it is "bacterial SSU rRNA". It matches the Rfam family "Archaeal small subunit ribosomal RNA", at positions 463 to 999 of the family's 1478-position model. The record is from RNAcentral.
AGCCGCGGUAAUACCGGCGGCUCGAGUGGUGGCCACGAUUACUGGGCUUAAAGCGUUCGUAGCUGGGUUGUUAAGUCUCUUGGGAAAUCUACCGGCUUAACCGAUAGGCGUCCAAGGGAUACUGGCAAUCUAGGGACCGGGAGAGGUGAGGGGUACUUCAGGGGUAGGAGUGAAAUCCUGUAAUCCUUGGGGGACCACCUGUGGCGUAGGCGCCUCACCAGAACGGCUCCGACAGUGAGGGACGAAAGCUGGGGGAGCAAACCGGAUUAGAUACCCGGGUAGUCCCAGCCGUAAACGAUGCGCGUUAGGUGUAUCGAUGACCACGAGUCAUCGAGGUGCCGAAGGGAAACCGUGAAACGCGCCGCCUGGGAAGUACGGUCGCAAGGCUGAAACUUAAAGGAAUUGGCGGGGGAGCACCACAACAGGUGGAGCCUGCGGUUUAAUCGGACUCAACGCCGGAAAUCUCACCGGAUAAGACAGCUGAAUGAUAGCCGGGCUGAAGACUCUGCUUGACUAGCUGAGAGGUGGUGCAUGGCC